Non-coding RNA from Pelobates cultripes (western spadefoot toad), 223 nucleotides. Lineage: Eukaryota; Metazoa; Chordata; Amphibia; Anura; Pelobatidae. The record is from the annotation of a GenBank genome assembly.
UAGGGAGGGAGUGACUAGUGACAGAGUGAGGGAGUGGGUGACACAGUGACAGAGUUAGGGAGGGAGUGACUAGUGACAGAGAGAGGGAUGGGGUGACUAGUGACAGUCACCACCUCCCUCACUCUGUCACUAGUCACCACCUCCCUCCGUCACUGUGUCACCCCCUCCCUCACUCUGUCACCAGUCAUCCCCUUACUCUGUCACUAGUCACCCCUCCCUUCCC